RNAcentral lists this ribosomal RNA (621 nucleotides) under uncultured bacterium. RNAcentral's name for it is "bacterial SSU rRNA". It matches the Rfam family "Bacterial small subunit ribosomal RNA", at positions 1 to 614 of the family's 1533-position model. The record is from RNAcentral.
AGAUUAGAGUUUGAUCAUGGCUCAGAUUGAACGCUGGCGGCAGGCUUAACACGUGCAAGUCGAGCGGAGUGAUGGUGCUUGCACCAUCACUUAGCGGCGAACGGGUGAGUAAUGCCUAGGAAUCUGCCCAUUAGCGGGGGACAACGUGUGGAAACGCACGCCAAUACCGCAUACGCCCUACGGGGGAAAGCAGGGGAGCUCUUUUAGAGCCUUGCACUAAUGGAUGAGCCUAGGUCGGAUUAGCUAGUUGGUGGGGUAAAGGCCUACCAAGGCGACGAUCUGUAGCGGGUCUGAGAGGAUGAUCCGCCACACUGGAACUGAGACACGGUCCAGACUCCUACGGGAGGCAGCAGUGGGGAAUAUUGGACAAUGGGCGCAAGCCUGAUCCAGCCAUGCCGCGUGUGUGAAGAAGGCCUUUUGGUUGUAAAGCACUUUAAGCGAGGAGGAGGCUACCUGUAUUAAUACUAUAGGAUAGUGGACGUUACUCGCAGAAUAAGCACCGGCUAACUCUGUGCCAGCAGCCGCGGUAAUACAGAGGGUGCGAGCGUUAAUCGGAAUUACUGGGCGUAAAGCGCGCGUAGGCGGUUUGUUAAGUCGGAUGUGAAAUCCCCGGGCUCACCU